UGGGGGAUAUUGCACAAUAGAGGAAACUCUGAUGCAGCGACGCCGCGUGAGUGAAGAAGUAUUUCGGUAUGUAAAGCUCUAUCAGCAGGGAAGAUGAUGACGGUACCUGACUAAGAAGCCCCGGCUAACUACGUGCCAGCAGCCGCGGUAAUACGUAGGGGGCAAGCGUUAUCCGGAUUUACUGGGUGUAAAGGGAGCGCAGGCGGUUUGGCAAGUUGAGAGUGGAAGCAGGGGGCUCAACCCCCUGACUGCUCCCAAAACUGUUAAACUUGAGUAUGGGAGAGGCAGGCGGAAUUCCUAGUGUAGCGGUGAAAUGCUUAGAUAUUAGGAAGAACACCGGUGGCGAAGGCGGCCUGCUGGACCAAAACUGACGCUGAGGCUCGAAAGCGUGGGUAGCAAACAGGAUUAGAUACCCUGGUAGUCCACGCUGUAAACGAUGAAUACUAGGUGCUGGGAGGCAUAAGCCUUUCGGUGCCGUCGCAAACGCAUUAAGUAUUCCACCUGGGGAGUACGUUCGCAAGAAUG
RNAcentral lists this ribosomal RNA (525 nucleotides) under uncultured bacterium. Its description in RNAcentral is "bacterial SSU rRNA". It matches the Rfam family "Bacterial small subunit ribosomal RNA", at positions 355 to 896 of the family's 1533-position model. The record is from RNAcentral.